This 1010-nucleotide ribosomal RNA is filed under the name Campylobacter jejuni. Its description in RNAcentral is "partial 23S ribosomal RNA". It matches the Rfam family "Bacterial large subunit ribosomal RNA", at positions 1 to 1030 of the family's 2925-position model. The record is from RNAcentral. Lineage: Bacteria; Pseudomonadati; Campylobacterota; Epsilonproteobacteria; Campylobacterales; Campylobacteraceae.
AGGUAAGCUACUAAGAGCGAAUGGUGGAUGCCUUGACUGGUAAAGGCGAUGAAGGACGUACUAGACUGCGAUAAGCUACGGGGAGCUGUCAAGAAGCUUUGAUCCGUAGAUUUCCGAAUGGGGCAACCCAAUGUAUAGAGAUAUACAUUACCUAUAUAGGAGCGAACGAGGGGAAUUGAAACAUCUUAGUACCCUCAGGAAAAGAAAUCAAUAGAGAUUGCGUCAGUAGCGGCGAGCGAAAGCGCAAGAGGGCAAACCCAGUGCUUGCACUGGGGGUUGUAGGACUGCAAUGUGCAAGAGGUAAGUUUAGCAGAACAUUCUGGAAAGUAUAGCCAUAGAGGGUGAUAGUCCCGUAUGCGAAAAACAAACCUUAGCUAGCAGUAUCCUGAGUAGGGCGGGACACGAGGAAUCCUGUCUGAAUCCGGGUCGACCACGAUCCAACCCUAAAUACUAAUACCAGAUCGAUAGUGCACAAGUACCGUGAGGGAAAGGUGAAAAGAACUGAGGUGAUCAGAGUGAAAUAGAACCUGAAACCAUUUGCUUACAAUCAUUCAGAGCCCUAUGUAGCAAUACAGGGUGAUGGACUGCCUUUUGCAUAAUGAGCCUGCGAGUUGUGGUGUCUGGCAAGGUUAAGCAAACGCGAAGCCGUAGCGAAAGCGAGUCUGAAUAGGGCGCUUAGUCAGAUGCUGCAGACCCGAAACGAAGUGAUCUAUCCAUGAGCAAGUUGAAGCUAGUGUAAGAACUAGUGGAGGACUGAACCCAUAGGCGUUGAAAAGCCCCGGGAUGACUUGUGGAUAGGGGUGAAAGGCCAAUCAAACUUCGUGAUAGCUGGUUCUCUCCGAAAUAUAUUUAGGUAUAGCGUUGUGUCGUAAUAUAAGGGGGUAGAGCACUGAAUGGGCUAGGGCAUACACCAAUGUACCAAACCCUAUCAAACUCCGAAUACCUUAUAUGUAAUCACAGCAGUCAGGCGGCGAGUGAUAAAAUCCGUCGUCAAGAGGGAAACAACCCAG